RNAcentral lists this ribosomal RNA (643 nucleotides) under Pseudister sp. Chancani. RNAcentral's name for it is "eukaryotic LSU rRNA". It matches the Rfam family "Eukaryotic large subunit ribosomal RNA", at positions 417 to 810 of the family's 3401-position model. The record is from RNAcentral. Lineage: Eukaryota; Metazoa; Arthropoda; Insecta; Coleoptera; Histeridae.
AAACCUGGGAAACCCGAAAGUUCGAAUGGAGAGAUUCACCGCGACUCGACUCGUCGGCGAGUGCGCGUACGGACGUCGCGUCGGCUUCGGUCGGCGUGCGCCGCACGCGUGCCGUUCGGACGUGCGAUCGCGUGCACUUCUCUCUUAGUAGGACGUCGCGACCCGUUGGGCGCCGGUCUACGAUCGACGGUGGAAGACCGCGAGGUCUGGCUUCAAGGGGUCAGUUCUGGCGAACCCGUCGCAUCCGACCGGCUCACUCGACGGUAGAAUAUAGAGGGCGCGGAGCCGCGACUAGUUCGCGUCCGUGACCGUCGCAAGCGUGCUCGGUAACUCGGUGUUCUCGGAGUCCUCGUGUCUCCGGUCCCGGGUCCGAGCUACUGUUAGCGACGAUGUUCUCGGACAGGCUCCGCCCGUCUGCGACGCUAUUGCUUUGGGUACUUUCAGGACCCGUCUUGAAACACGGACCAAGGAGUCUAGCAUGCACGCGAGUCUUAGGGACUCUGAGAUAAAGAACGAAACCUAAAGGCGUAAUGAAAGUAAAGGUCUACGGAUCUAGGGAAGACGGGUGCAUACAACCGCACUCCGCACUCCCGGGGCGACCCGAUCUCAUAGCGAGAUGAGGCGCACCCAGAGCGUACACGCU